RNAcentral lists this ribosomal RNA (292 nucleotides) under uncultured bacterium. RNAcentral's name for it is "partial 16S ribosomal RNA". It matches the Rfam family "Bacterial small subunit ribosomal RNA", at positions 505 to 796 of the family's 1533-position model. The record is from RNAcentral.
GUGCCAGCCGCCGCGGUAAUACAGAGGGUGCAAGCGUUGUCCGGAAUCACUGGGCGUAAAGGGCGCGUAGGCGGUCCAUCAAGUCAGGGGUGAAAGGCCUGGGCUCAACCUGGGAACUGCCCUUGAAACUGGUGGACUCGAGUCCGGGAGAGGGUAGCGGAAUUCCCAGUGUAGAGGUGAAAUUCGUAGAUAUUGGGAAGAACACCAGUGGCGAAGGCGGCUACCUGGACCGGGACUGACGCUGAGGCGCGAAAGCGUGGGGAGCAAACAGGAUUAGAUACCCUAGUAGUCC